UAAACCAUGCACCGAAGCUGCGGCAGCGACACUAUGUGUUGUUGGGUAGGGGAGCGUUCUGUAAGCCUGCGAAGGUGUGCUGUGAGGCAUGCUGGAGGUAUCAGAAGUGCGAAUGCUGACAUAAGUAACGAUAAAGCGGGUGAAAAGCCCGCUCGCCGGAAGACCAAGGGUUCCUGUCCAACGUUAAUCGGGGCAGGGUGAGUCGACCCCUAAGGCGAGGCCGAAAGGCGUAGUCGAUGGGAAACAGGUUAAUAUUCCUGUACUUGGUGUUACUGCGAAGGGGGGACGGAGAAGGCUAUGUUAGCCGGGCGACGGUUGUCCCGGUUUAAGCAUGUAGGCUGAUUAUCCAGGCAAAUCCGGAUAAUCAAGGCUGAGGUGUGAUGACGAGGCACUACGGUGCUGAAGUAACAAAUGCCCUGCUUCCAGGAAAAGCCUCUAAGCAUCAGGUAACAUUAAAUCGUACCCCAAACCGACACAGGUGGUCAGGUAGAGAAUACCAAGGCGCUUGAGAGAACUCGGGUGAAGGAACUA
RNAcentral lists this ribosomal RNA (531 nucleotides) under Klebsiella pneumoniae. Its description in RNAcentral is "partial 23S ribosomal RNA". It matches the Rfam family "Bacterial large subunit ribosomal RNA", at positions 1183 to 1715 of the family's 2925-position model. The record is from RNAcentral. Lineage: Bacteria; Pseudomonadati; Pseudomonadota; Gammaproteobacteria; Enterobacterales; Enterobacteriaceae.